Long non-coding RNA from Psammomys obesus (fat sand rat), 3047 nucleotides. RefSeq lists it as uncharacterized. NCBI's taxonomy places the organism in Eukaryota, Metazoa, Chordata, Mammalia, Rodentia, Muridae. The record is from RefSeq and is a predicted model, not a curated record. The transcript has 2 exons.
UUCCUCCUCUGGAGGCCCCCAGAGCUUCAACUGUUUCAGCUCCCUGCAGGAAAUUCCUGAAGAGACUCUAAUUUUAAUAGCCAAAGAGAGGAGCCCAAAUGUCUACUUAGAAUGUAUCCAUUCCAGACAGAGACUGGCUGCUUCAAGAAAGAUCCCCUGCUCUGUGUGGCCUGGAGAUGUGACCUUUUUCUCCUUGAAUCAUUGAGCCCCCUUGGCCUUUGUUUUUCAUUUUCUGUGUACCAAUUUUUUUCAGACUAGUCAGUUAAAUAGGAUUGUGAGGUCAGAACCCAACCAAUGGGGAAAACACACAGCUAACACCUGAGUUAGAAUAAAAACCAAGCGUGCUUUUUGUCUAGGUAUGUUCCUUCUGAAGAUCAAACACACCCUCUUAAUAUUUGCCUGGAGAAGACACUUCGGCAGGAAUGGUAUCUGUUUCUAUGGAGAGCUCACUCUUUGCUCCUCUUUCCAAAGUUGCCACAUUGAGUAAAUCUUUCUGCUUUUCACUAUUUUUUUUUAAAGAUUUAUUUUAUUUCUUAUGUAUACAAAGUUCUGCCUGCAUCUGCACUUGCAGGCCAGAAGAGGGUACCAGAUAUCAUUAGAGAUGGUUGUGAGCCAUGUGGUUGCUGGGAAUUGAACUCAGGACCUUUGAAAGAACAACCAGUGCUCUGAACCACUGAGCCACCUCUCCGGCCCUGCUUUUCACUAUUAAUUUGGCUCUUUUAAUUGAUGUAUUGAUUAGGCAAAUCUGGCUUUGGGGGAGGCAGAGCCUUUGACCCUAAAUCUGGUAACAACCUCAAACAAACAUUUGCUUACUGAGCAACAUCUGUCAGUACUUUUGUAUAGAAAAUGAAAACAAACCAGCCAAAUGGCUCAGUUGGUGAAAAGGUACCUGCCACCAAGCAUGCUCACCUGAGUUUAAUUCAAGAGCUUGGCACUAUGGAACAUAAACACACACACAGUUAAUCCCACUGGGCAAGAAUAAAACCACUACCACAAUUUUUGAACAAGAUGUUCACUGUCCAGGAAGCUGGACACUGACCAGGUCCAUACCCAGGAUUUCCAGAGAAUGACCACUGAACUGAGUUGGCCAGGUGUUUCUGGUUGAAGUGUCUCAUCUGCUGAGAGGCAAGAAUUCCAACACACUUAAUAACAUAUGCAGUGAAGCCUGCCUACUGUGAUGGCUAAUCUUGGUUGUCAACUUGACUAUGUCUGGAACUAACUAAAACCCAAAAACCUAUGAGGGAUUUUCUUGGUUGAACGACUUGAGAUGGGAAAAGCCCUGAUAUACCAAUGGAAUUUUCCUGGUAACUGGAACCAGAUAUAUGCCUAUAAUCCACUCAAGACCCUAAGGAAGAAAGGGUGGAAAUAUGAGGCCAUGCUGGACUACUCAGCAAGACCCUCUAACAAACAAAGAGACAAACGUGACUUCUCUGCCACAUAAAAGAUCAUGCUUUCUAAGUCAAUCCCAUUCGGGUUGAAAUCUCUGCUUUGCUGAUUAAUAACUGGCUGUCAGUCAAGCCAUUUAACCUACUAACCUCAUUUUCUUCAGAAAAAUUAUAAUCUAUAAAGAGGAUGGUUAUAAAUAUUAUUUCAUGAUGUAAUAUUUCAUCACGUUAGAACCUCUGUGAUCUUAAAAACUGGUUUCUAACACAAUCUUUAUAAUUACCAUUCGAGUGAGACUAUACACGUGUAUGAACUGCCACUCUCACAGCCACCACAGUCACCAAAUACUCCGCAUUGUACUCCUGCACCCAAGCAUAGCCUCAGGACACCUCCCAGCUCAUGACCCUGGGGAGUCAACCCCAGGGGAUGAAAACACUCUCCAGAGGCAAUCCCUGGAUCGGGGGCUAGGUCAUUACUUUCAAUUUUCUUUUCUAGGAACAAACCAAAAAAUCAGAUGUUAAAUAUAAGGUCCUACUUUAAUUAAGUAGAUGAGAGACAGAAAGCCCCUUGUUUUACUUUUCCCCUGCUCAAACUCAUUUUUGAAUUUCAGUUCAUUUGAAGGACAGUGUUAUUGACUAUAAUGAAAGCAUAGUAGACAUUUUUCAACCUCUUUUAAUUGUGUGAUUCUCUUUUUUUUCUUUGCCGUUUUAAUUUUGUGGCGGGCAACGCGAGUGUUUUGUAAUGAAAUACUGCAGGCAUGGCACUGCUGAUCAAAGUGAAACAUGAAACGCUUGACUCUUCUUAACCAAGGAGAUAAUAAAAUCCCUGUUGAUAAUCUACUUACAUGACAUAAAAUAAAAAUCUUAGGGAUAGUGGUCAGUGGUCUUCUAUUUCUUUUUUUUUUUUUUUCAUUUACUAGCUUUAUUCACAUCCUUACUACAUCCUUAUAGCCCCUUUCCUCCUCCCCUCCCAGUCCUACCCUCUCUUCCACCCCCCUCCCUUUUUCCUCAGAAAAGGGCAGUUCCCUUUCCCCACCAUCCACCCCAGCUCAUCUGGUUGCAUCAGGACUGAGCUUGUCCUCUUCCCCUGUGGCCUGGCAAGGCAGUCCCACUAGGGGAAGUGAUCUAAAAGCUGGCAAGCAAGUCCUUUUCUGCUGCAGUCCCCACUUCCCUUACUAGAGGACCCACAAGAAGCCUAAGCUGCCCAUCUGCUACAUCUUUGUUAGGGGGCCUAGGUCCAAUGCAUGGUUGAUGCUUCAGUCUCACCAAACCCUCUGGGCCCUGGUUAGUUGGCUCUGUUGUUUUUCUUGUGAAGCUCCUGUCACUUCUGGGUCCUUUUCUCUUUCCUCCCACUAUUCCCCAAGACUCCCUGCGCAUCACCCAAAGGAUGGCUGUGAGUCUCAGCAUCUGUUUUGAGAUGUGACUGCAUGGAGCCUCUCAGGGACCGACUCUGACAGGCUCCUGUCUGCAAGCUUAGCAGAGUAUCAUAGUGUCAGGGGUUGGCGCUCUCAAUAGGAUGGGUCUUUGGUUGGGCCAGGCUUCUUCUAUUUCUUAUCAAUUAGGGUUACACUACAUUAAAAUUUCUGCCGUAUUAUUAUUAAAUCUGCUAAAUCAAAUGUUAAAAAAAAACAAAAAUGUAAUAAAAUAAAUGGAAUGUAAAUCUAA